Molecule: long non-coding RNA, 528 nt
Organism: Benincasa hispida (wax gourd)
Lineage: Eukaryota; Viridiplantae; Streptophyta; Magnoliopsida; Cucurbitales; Cucurbitaceae
Source: RefSeq, a predicted model, not a curated record
GUUCUUCAUUGUUCCCAAAUUUCACUCCCAGGAUAAUGGCGACCACCACCUGUUUGUUCAAAAGAAAAGUCAACAAUCAGCAAUUUUUGGAGUGUUUUCACGGCUUCUGAUGGAUUUCUGUCGUUUCUAUUCACGUGUAGAAGUAAGCCUCCCACUGUCAUCAACAAAGCUGGAAAUGCAGCCAAACCCAGGGAAAGCCUCCAUCCCCAUGGAUCAAUCUUCUGUGUACCAUAAUUGAUCAUGUUUGCCGUGAAGAUCCCAAGAGUAGUUGCCAGCUGAAACAUCAUGUUCAGGCCUCCUCGAAGAUGAGUUGGUGCCAUCUCUGAUAAGUAGAGUGGCACUGCCUUCAAUAACAAACAAGCAUUAAUACACCAGGAGGAAUUGAGGUGCAGAAAGCAUACCUGAUUCCCAAAGCCAAUGCCUACACCAAGCAUUAUUCUUCCUAGGAUGAGCAUUUCAAUAUUGACGGCGGCAGCAUUUAGAGUUGCCCCAACAAGAAAGCUAAUUCCUCCGCAGACUAUGCUUGCC